GGAUUGAUAUUGACAAAAACUGUCUGAGGAUGGUGAAUGACUCAUACAAAUAGCACUGUGAGGUCC
Small nucleolar RNA from Cricetulus griseus (Chinese hamster), 66 nucleotides. Ensembl annotates it as small nucleolar RNA SNORD109A. The record is from Ensembl. NCBI's taxonomy places the organism in Eukaryota, Metazoa, Chordata, Mammalia, Rodentia, Cricetidae.